RNAcentral lists this transfer RNA (74 nucleotides) under Mesoplodon bidens (Sowerby's beaked whale). RNAcentral describes it as "tRNA-Phe". The record is from RNAcentral. Lineage: Eukaryota; Metazoa; Chordata; Mammalia; Artiodactyla; Ziphiidae.
GUUAACGUAGCUUAAAUUCAUACCAAAGCAAGACACUGAAAAUGUCUAGAUGGACAUACACUGCCCCGUCAACA